Molecule: long non-coding RNA, 24485 nt
Filed under: Solanum melongena (eggplant)
Lineage: Eukaryota; Viridiplantae; Streptophyta; Magnoliopsida; Solanales; Solanaceae
Description: long non-coding RNA (SMEL_LNC000097)
Source: RNAcentral
UCCCGUUUACAAGUCCCCACCACCUCCAACUCCUGUUUACAAGUCGCCACCACCACCUAAGACGCCACACUACCCUCCACAUACCCCAGUUUAUAAGUCUCCUCCUCCACGCCAUCAUCACCCCGUUUACAAGUCUCCACCACCUCCAACUCCUGUUUACAAAUCACCACCACCACCCAAGGACCCACACUACCCUCCACACACCCCAAUUUACAAGUCACCACCACCACCCAAAGAACCACACUACCCACCACAUACCCCAGUGUACAAGUCUCCACCACCACCAACUCCAGUAUACAAGUCACCACCACCACCCAAGAGGCCAUACCAUCCUCCACCAACACCAUAUCAUCCCACACCAGUUUAUAAGUCUCCACCACCACCAACUCCAGUGUACAAGUCACCACCACCCCCAACUCCCGUUUACAAAUCACCACCACCACCAGUGAAGCCAUACCAUCCCGCACCAGUAUACAAGUCUCCACCACCCCCAACUCCCAUUUACAAAUCACCACCACCACCAGUGAAGCCAUACCAUCCUAAACCUGUGUACAAGUCUCCACCACCACCAGUGAAGCCAUAUCAUCCUACACCCGUCUACAAGUCUCCACCACCACCAACUCCCGUCUACAAGUCACCACCACCACCAGUGAAGCCAUACCAUCCUACACCCGUCUACAAGUCUCCACCACCACCAACUCCCGUCUACAAGUCGCCACCACCACCAGUGAAGCCAUACCAUCCUACACCCGUAUACAAGUCUCCACCACCACCAACUCCCGUUUACAAGUCACCACCACCACCAGUGAAGCCAUAUCAUCCCUCACCAACACCAUACCACCCUACACCAGUAUACAAGUCUCCACCACCACCAACUCCCGUUUACAAGUCCCCACCACCACCAGUAAAGCCAUACCACCCUUCACCAACACCAUACCAUCCUAAACCAGUAUACAAGUCUCCACCACCACCAACUCCAGUCUACAAGUCUCCACCACCAACCCACUAUGUUUACUCCUCUCCCCCUCCUCCCUACCAUUACUAAGAAGUGAGUUUACUAUAUCUGAGGUAAUUAAGAUGAACUUAAACCUUUACAAACAUAUAUAACUAAAAUGCAAUGCAAUAAUAAGUUGCACAAUUAUUUCUUCUCUUUUGGUUAGUUUCUUUUAUAUGUUCUCAUUCACAAUAUUAUAUUGUUAUGCAGGAAAAGCAUAAUGUUGAGCUGAAAGAAAGGCAUUUUCCAUUUUCAAGAAGAAAAUUAUAGUAAAUAAUAAGGCUUACAGAAGAUCAGACGAAGUUCUUUUGUAGCUUCAUGUUAUCUAACUUGUCUUAGUGAUAUAUUGUUUUUGUACUCUAUUUUUAUAUAUUACUUUUAUGUGUCUUUGUGUAUGUUUGCUCACUUUCAAUCUUCUUGCAAAAUGCAGAGAUUAAUUAUGAGAUUAUCAUGAAUAAAAUAAGUUAUUACUACUCCCAUAUGUUUUAAUUAACUUCUCAUCACAAUAUAUAUUACCUUUGUUUUCAUUUUAUCAUGUGCUCAUAUUUAAUUUAUAAAAUUAUAAUGUGAACACAACAUUUACAAUUUUUUUCAAAUAGAACUAUUUAUAUAUAUAUAUAUAUAUAUAUAUAUAUAUAUAUAUAUAUAUAACAGGAUGCUCAAAUUAAUAACCAACGAAUUUCAUGUACUUAUGGUUAUAAUUCAAUCAAAUUCGAGUAUUGUAGUCCAUUUACGAUAACAAAAUAAAAAAAUUAUUUAAUAAUCACAUAAUACGUUGUUAAACUUUUGUAAAGUAUAUGAUUUCAGAAGCUCAAACAAAAAAUUACAAUCCAAAUAUUUUAAAAAUAAUAGUUUAAAAUUUUCACGCAUCACAUAAAUAUAUAUACUUACUCCAAGCCUAUCCUAUCCGAAAUUUUCAGCUAUUGAUGUAGCCUCUUGUCGAUACUACUAGUCUUCUCGCUACCUACUAGAAAAAUUCCAUCAAAAUAGAUUGAAUCGACGACCUAUACUUCAACUAAAGGCACGAGGGCGUAGCGAGCUUAACUAUUAUCGUAAUAUAAGAUGAAAUCCACCCAUUUUGAUAUCACAUACACGUCUUUAAAACUGAUAAAAUAAUGAGGUCUACUCUUAGUCAAAAUUAAAUGAUUGUAGACCACAUCUACAGUUCCCAAUUGUCAACAAUUCGAUCCUCCGCGUUUGUGGUAGGUUUCACUUUCAUUUCUUCGGUUCGAUUUUAUCAAAUUUUAAUUUGAUUCUUUAAUUUUUAAUUUUGGAAAAAUGUGUAUGGAAUGUUGAAUCGAAUUAAUUUGUUUAAUUAUCUUUUUAAAAAAUUAGUUUAAAACAAAAAUUGAAUUUCAAUAAAAUUUAAUGAAAAAAUUAUUCAAAUUGAUUAGGUAACCUUUUAAGUCAAAUAUCAAUAGUUGAAUAAUUUUAUAGGUAAAAUAUUCAUAAUUGAGUGACUUUGAGAUCAUACAAGAAAAUUGAGUGACUUUAUAAGAGAAAAAAUCUUAGUUAAAAUAAUUUUUUAUGAGAAAAAAUUCUUAAGUAACUUUAUGGCAUUAUAAAAAAAAAUUAACUCCUCUUUAAAUUAGAAUUACAAAAUUAAAAGUAAGUUCCAUUUUAAAGAUAAGGACAUUAUUAGUAAAAAUAAUUGGUGAACAUUUUCCAAUGAAAAAAUAAUAUUUUUCUAAAAUAGCUAAUAGAUGAUAAUUCGUUUCUUAGGCGUAAAAAUGUUAGGACAUGUUAGCCUCACUCAGUUGAAUAAAUUGCUCACCAAGAACAUAAUCAUUGAAUAUCCUAAAACAAAGUUUAAAAAUGAAUUAAAAAAAAAAUCAGUAAUAAAAAAAUACAUGCAAACUAUCUACAAAUGUAUUAUUAUUAAUUUUUAAAUAAAAAAGAGUAAAUGAAAGAGAAUAGAAGAUCUUUGACUUGUUAAUUAAGACAAAUAUUUGUCUAAUAUAAGUAUGUCGGUAAUAACAAUGUAGACUAAGAUCUGUACUUGUUUAUAUAUCCAUAUCCCUUAAUGUUAGGACCAUUAAAAUUAUUAAUUUAGUUUAACUAAUUAAUGGGAUCUUAUAAAUACAUUAAUAAUAUUACUGUUGUCGGUGAUUAAGUUAAUGCUAAUACUUAAUUGUUUUUUUUUUCCAAUUAAAAUGUCAAAGUCGUUAGAUGAACCAAAAUGGAAUCGUCCAUGAAGAUGGUACCAGAGUACAAUUAUUGAAUAAUAUCUUUUUUUUUUAACUUCAAAAAUUAAAGUGGAAUUCAAUUACCUACUUUAUAAAUGUAUGGCAACUUGGCAAUAAUUCAUUAAAUUUCAGGAAGAACAAAAACCAUCGAUAAUUGAGAUUAAUUUAAGAGAUAAAUGUCAAAAACACAUUUAAUAUAUUACAUAUUUUAAAAAAAUUCAUACUUCACCCCGUCUCUUUUCGAAAAAAUUGAUAUUAUUUUAUUUUUUUAAAAAUAGGAAUUCUAUCCAUCCUAUAUAACCUCCUGUACCUAAUUUUUUUAUAUAUAUUUUUGUGAGUUUGUAUUAGAUAUGUACAUAUAUUUUUAGGAAUUCUUUCUACUUGUGUACCAAAUAUAAAGUAAAUAAAACAUUUAUUUUUUAAAAAAGUCUUGAGGCCGUGGCAAAUAAAAAUUAUUUUCAAUAUGUUUAUAUCUAACACAAAAGGAGAAAAAGUUCGAAAGCGGACGGUUAGGUGGGGUAGGUAUAUUUUUUUUAAAGCAAAUUAGUAUAUAUAUUUUUUUGUGUGUGUGGGGUUGGGGGGGGGGGGGGGGUAAAAAAAAGUUAAAUACCUUUACAAAAGAAAUUUAAACAAAAAAAACUAAAAAAAAAAAGGGUGGGGGGAGGGUUGGACGGUUAGAGAAAGUGAUGGAGUGGGUAGGGAGGCGAGCAAAAUUGGGAGGGAGACGAGCAAACUUUGUACGUAUCGUAACCCAGAACAUGUGAAUCAAGCAAGAUACACACUAGGUACAUGUAUUUGUACGUGUCUAGAGGAAUUCACAUAUAUCUGGGAUAUCAUAUUCUUGGAAGAAUGACGAGCAAAAUGGAACAGAGGCAAGGAAGGAAAACGAGAUAUACUAUGUAUCCCAAAUACAUGCGAAUUCAAUAAAUAUAAUGUAUCUAGAACAAAUUACACCUAAAUUUGAUCGAGAUAUUCGAGAUACAUGUAUCUCAAGGCACCAAAAUCUGAUUUUUAUAUAUAUAUAUAUAUAUAUGAAAGUUUAUGUGAUCGAUAAAACUAAUAGCUUAGUAUUUCAAUGGUAUCAUUUCUACACAAAAUAGUUCUACCUCAAUUUAUGACAAAAAUGAUUUUAUUUAUAUGAGAUCAAAUUUAUAGGGUUUCGAUGACCAUGAUAAAACAGGAGAAUGUACAAAAAUACUUAAGUCCUUGUUUAUAAUAUACCAUUUUGCCAAAAUAUUUGUAGCUCGAUUAACUUUCUUAUAGAAAUGUUGAACCUUUCAAAUAAUAGUGCUUGAUAUAAUGAUAUAUUGUAAAUAUGAAAAGUGAUGUUUUUCAUUUUCCAAAGAAUACCACUAAAAUAGUUCUUUCUAACAUCAUGUAUAAAUUUUUAUGCAAGUAAAACAUUUUAAAUAAUAAUCUACGAAACUUGUUAUUUGAUCCUCAUAGAUAUUAUAACAUUUAGUUUUAGUGCUUAUGAAAAUAAUUUUGUUAGAACAAUAUUUCCAUUAUACGUAUAAAAAGUUCACAUUGUUCUUUGUUUUUAAAGAUACAAUAUCCUAAUUAUUUCAUUGUUAUUCCAUCUCUAUUAUUCAUUGAGCAUAAUUUGAAUAAUUUAUUUUUAUCAUAUUAUUACCAAUAUAAUCAUAGAAAGUCAAAUAAGAAAACUAAUUUUCCUUGUUACUAUUUCUUUGAUUAAUUGGAAUUAGAGACGACUAGUUAUUAUUAUGAGCAACUUUCACAUAUAGCAAACAAAAAAUUUAUAUUUGUAUGCUAAUUAAGCUCCAUAGCAAACAUAAAACUGUAUAAUUUGCUAUACAUAUACAAUUGUAUAAUUCGCUGGCCUAUUUCGCUGCAAUAGUAUAAUUUGUUUUGCAUACAGUUGAAUCGAAUUAAAAUGUAUGUAUAUUGCAUAAUUAUAAGUGUAUAGCAAGAAGAUAUAUGUUUUUCUCGCUUUAUACAAAAACAGAAACACAAUAUAUACACUUUUGUUGUAUAAAGCUAGAGAAAAUUGUAUUUCACUGCAAUUGUAUAAUUCGCAAUUGUAUAAUUCGUUGGCCUUUUUCUCUGCAAUAUUUGAAGUAAAAUGUUUGCAAAUUGUGUAAUUAAGUGUAUAACAUGAAGAUAUACAUUUUUGCAUGUGUAUAUACAAUUUUCUCUCGCUUUAUACAAAACAGAAACAGAAUUAUACACUUCUGUGUAUAAAGCGGGAGAGGCGAGCGAGAAUGGAGAGUGGCGAGCGAGAUUUUUGGGAGAGAGACGCUGGCAAAUUUUAGCUAAUGUUUGCUAUGGAGCAAAAUUAAAUCAAAUCCUAGCUAUUCCAUUUAAUUUAGGUUAUUAGUUUGCUAUUAUAUACAAUUUUUUCUAUUAUUAUUAAUCGGAUGCAUUUCACUCCGCACAUAAAUAACUUCCAAUAAUUUAAUAUUAAUUAUAUAUGCUCUAUUAAAUAAUUUUUAAAUAUAAAAUAAUAUUAUGGUAGAUUUGGGGGUGUCAAAAUCAAGUCAAUUUGUCAAACUCCCCUAUUCCAUUUAAUUUAUCAACUUUAACUCAUCUCAACCUAAUUUAGUUUAAUUCAUAUUUAAACAGUGAAUUGAUAUAUAAUUCAAAUUAGCUUAUCAAAAUAUUUUUAAAAUAAUAUUUUUAAAAUUUGAUAUGUUAUAUAUAGUCGUAAUAAAGAAAAAAAUAAACUUAUUAGGUGCUAAAAAAUUUUAAAAAGAGCAAACUAAACAACUAAAUUUUAGUAAAAAUUGAAGGGGUUAUAUUAGAAAUCGAAUUUAACUUAAUUAUGUCCAAUUCAUUUCAAUUCAAAUAGACAAUAGCUAAUGAUCCAUUCAUUUGUUAACUCAUUAAAAUUCAAUCGGUUCAAAUUCAGGUCAACUCUCCUAUACCAAACUUCUAGUAGAUCUUAAUCAAUAAAAAUUUGGACACGAAAACAAUUCAUUCAUUUCAUCCAUCAAAUUAUUAAUAAGUGACACCAUCUUAGCGACCCAGUUCAUUGUAUUAUAUUAAGAAAAAAUAACUUAAAUACACAAUUAUAAGUUUUAUAUUUUCUAAUUUUCCCUUCUUUUUUUUAAAUAUUACAUAAUUUCCUUUUUUUAAAAUUUUAGUGUAAGUUUAUAGAUACAUUACAUUCUCUCUCCUAUAGUACACAAUUACCCAUUUUAAUGCCUAUUUAUUCUCCAUUAAAACACUCAACCUUUUAAAUAAAAGACCUAAUUUUGAAUUUCAAAAUUCAAAAAAUUUCAAAUUUCAAAAAUCAGGUUCUCCCGUUUUUCUUACUCCAUCAAGUUUCACUUCCUUUUUUUCCAUAAUCAUCUUCCUUCUUCUUAACCUAGCAGAAUUUAUUGGUUUCUUCUUUUUAUUCUUAAUCCAUCAUCUUUUUCUUCUUAAUCUGUAAUCGUCUUAACCCAAUAUCUUUUUAUUAUUAAUCCAUCAUCAGUUCGUCUUUUCUUCUCUUUUUUCUUUUUGUUAAUUGUUCUAUUACAUUAUAGUAAUGGAUCCGUUAAUUAAUAGAAGGAUAUAUGAUUCCGACGAUGAAAAUUGGAAAGAAAAUAGGAAAAAGUUUUUGCAUGAUCCUAUGAAUCUUCAGAAGGAUUCAAACAAAGACUCUGGCGAAACAUCAAAAUCAAAGGUUAUCAAAAUACAACAAAAAAAGAAAAAAGAAGCAGCAAACAUUGUUGUUAGGCCUACAUUGUCUCGGGUUAGUAUUUUGGUACUUAAAACUGUUGUUGAAAUUAGUAAAAAUUUUAAGGAAUCUAGUGUGCUUGCCGAUACAUUUGAAUAAGUGUGUAUAGUGUUUUAGAGGUGAAUUGAUACAUGAAUUUAUUGUGUAUCAUAAUAUUUUAUAUGUAUCAUGAAGUUUUGAAAAUUGUUAUAAUGUAUCAUUCAAUAAGUUUAGUAAAUACGUCAUCAACUGUGCUUGAUGAUACAUAUAGAAUCAGUGUGUACGGUGUUUAGUCAAUUCACUGAUACAUGUAGGAGAUAUGUAUCACAUGUUUUGCAUAUAGUAUGAAUUUCUGAAAACUGAUAUCAUGUAUCAGUAAGGUAUUAGUUGUUUAGUUGAUGUACUGAUACAUGUUUGAAAAUUGUUAUAAUGUAUCAUUCACUAAGUUUAAUAAAUGCGUCAUCAACUGUACUUGAUGAUACAUAUAGAAUCAGUGUGUAUAUUGUUUAGUCGAUGUUUCUGAUACAUGCAUUAGAUACGAAAUUGAAUCUCCAACAACGAUUCCGUCGAUUUUGUAACUUUCAUACUGCAAUUCGUUCACCUAAAUUCCGGAAUGUCUCAUCAAAAUCGAAGUAUUCAUCUUGAAAAAUCCACUGUAACAACAAUAAAAUUACUGUAGUUCGAAAUUUAACAGAUUGUUCAAAAAAAUUGUUUUCAAAAUAGAUGACAUAAUCUUUGUUUUUCAAAAUUUGAAAUUAAUAUCCAAUUAAGUGCUUAUUUUAUGCUGAUUAAUGAUAUGUUACCGUAAAUUUAGCUGUUUUAUUAACAACAUUAACUGUACCGUUUUCCCCCUUUUUUUUCUCAACAGUUUAAAAUUACCAUGUAUCAUUUACCUUGUAUCACGAGAGUCUAAAGUAUCACGGCUCAACAAAUUUAAGAGAUUUUUUGUAAAUACUAAAUUUGUCUGGACAAAAUGAAAUUAUUGAAUUACACUAUAGGAUUCCUUAAAUUUUUACUUAUAUUAAUCUUUAGUAUGGGGACCUAAAUAUUUAACUUUCCAAUUCCUUUAGGGGUCAAUUUGAUUGAUUAUAAUGAGUGAAUUAUACUAUAAAAAUUGAAAUAAUAAUUAAUGUUUGUAGAGCAUAUUAAAUUAUUUUAUCAUGACUACAGUUGGUGUUAAUUGAAUUGGAAAUAAGAUAUAUACGGUAUAUAAUAUAUAUAGAAAUUUUAAUUUGAUUCGUUGAUUUUGUAUUUUCAGACAAAUUUUAUUUUUAAUUUUACCUUUCUUAAAGAACUUUUAGUUUGGUUGUUUUAUCAUGGAAUUAGCUAAUUAUUAAUCUAGAGAAUUGCUAUUCCAUAUACAACUUUGGUACAAUUAGAGAAUUAUAAUAUAAUUAAUUUCAAAAUUACUUAUAUUUAGGAACAAAAGUUUCAAUCAAACGAUAAAUAAUUGAAUAUUUUAUCUCAGAAUUAGUAUUAUUAUUAUUAAUACUAAUUAACGAUCCUAAGUUUCGAUUUUGUCACUCCGGUCCUUUUCUUUUAAUCUUUUCACAAACCAACUACAUUUGAUUGCAUUAACUAUAAAGUCCAUUUGCAUUAUUUUACAUAUCAAUUAAUAUUACUAAACUAAAUUUAUCUAUAAUUACUGAUUUAAAUGUAUACCUAUUUUCUCACCAACAUGGCAUAUAUAUUAGACUCAUUAAAAUUAAACGUUGCUUCAUGUGGUGUGUUCAAUUGGUUAGACUAUCUCGUCAAAUAUAUUGUUCGCAAAUAAACAAUGCUCAAAUGAAUGAUAUUAAUGUUGUUGGUGAAUAUUACAAGCUUCUCGUAACGUUUUGUUAGCUUACGUAUGAAUGUGCAAUAUUAUUUCUACUUAUUUUGUCAAACACUAAAAAAGUAAGUAAAAAACUUGUUUAUGUGAGAUAAUAUUUUUCUUUGUACCUAAAAAGUGCAUUAAUUUAUAUAGCUAAAAUAGUGCAAAGUUGAGGCCUCCACGCAUUAUUUUUGGUGAGAAGAAGAAUGAGAAGACUUUCUAUCUCUUUGAAUUAUUGCAUCACAAACAGUAUAGCUGCCUUAAUAGUUUAUUCAUUUGCUUAGCUUAAUGCCUCUAUCCAUCAAAUUAAAUAUACAACUAACAAGACAAAACCAAAUGAAAAUGCAUAACUCUAGGAUUUUACCUACAUUUGUAUAAAUUUUGGUAAGGGUAUCUGUCUAAAUGAAAACUAUAUAAAGGGGUUUGAGUGAAGCUUAAGAUGACAACAACUUUCUCCUUUGUUUCGAAUAUGGGGAAAAUGGCCUUUCUAGUUGCCACCCUUUUAGUGGUUUUAGUGUCACUUAGCUUAGCAUCUGAAAUUUCAGCUAAUUAUCAAUACUCAUCUCCCCCACCACCAAAGGAGCCAUACCACCCUUCACCAACACCAUAUCAUCCCACACCAGUUUACAAUUCUCCACCACCACCAAAAGAGCCAUACUACCCUCCACACACUCCAGUGUACAAGUCGCCACCACCCUCGACACCUAUUUACAAGUCGCCACCACCACCCAAAGAGCCAUACUACCCUCCACACACCCCUGCCUACAAGUCACCACCUCCACCAACUCCAGUUUACAGGUCGCCACCACCUCCCAAGGAGCCAUACUAUCCUCCACACACACCAACCUACAAGUCGCCACCUCCACCAACUCCCGUUUACAAGUCACCACCACCUCCAAAGGAACCAUACUACCCUCCACAUGCACCAACCUACAAGUCGCCACCACCUCCCAAGGAGCCAUACUACCCUCCCCACACCCCAACCUACAAGUCCUCACCUCCACCAACUCCGUUUUACAAUUCACCACCACCUCCCAAGGAACCAUACUACCCUCCUCACACACCAACCUACAAGUCGCCACCCCCACACAAGGAUCCAUACUACCCUCCACACACACCAACCUAUAAGUCACCACCUCUACCAACUCCUGUUUACAAGUUGCCACAACCACCCAAGGAGCCAUAUUACCCUCCACACACACCAACCUACAAGUCACCACCUCCACCAACUCCCAUUUACAAGUCACCACCACCUCCCAAGGAGCCAUACUACCCUCCACACACACCAACCUACAAGUUACCACCUCCACCAACUCCCGUUUAUAAGUCGUCGCCACCACCAUCCAAAGAGCCAUACUACCCUCCACACACACCAACCUACAAGUCACCACCUCCACCACCUCCCGUUUAUAAGUCUCCACCACCACCCAAGGAGCCAUACUACCCUCCACACACACCGACCUACAAGUCACCACCUCCACCAACUCCCGUUUACAAGUCCCCACCACCUCCUAAGGAGCCAUACUACCCUCCACACACACCGACCUACAAGUCACCACCUCCACCAACUCCCGUUUACAAGUCCCCACCACCUCCUAAGGAGCCAUACUACCCUCCACACACACCAACCUACAAGUCACAACCUCCACUAACUCCCGUUUAUAAGUCGUCGCCACCACCACCCAAGGAGCCAUACUACCCUCCACACACACUAACCUACAAGUCACCACCUCCACCAACUCCUGUUUAUAAGUCGCCACCACCACCCAAGGAUCCAUACUACCCUCCAAACACCCCAACUUACAAGUCGCCACCUCCACCAACUCUCAUUUACAAGGUUCCACCACCAGCCAAGGAGCCAUACUACCCUCCACACACACCGACCUACAAGUCACCACCUCCACCGACUCCCCUUUAUAAGUCCCCACCACCUCCUAAGGAGCCAUACUACCCUCCACACACACCAACCUACAAGUCACCACCUCCACCAACUCCCGUUUAUAAGUCGUCGCCACCACUACCCAAGGAGCCAUACUACCCUUCACACACACCAACCUACAAGUCACCACCUCCACCAACUCCCGUUUAUAAGUCUCCACCACCAACCAAGGAUCCAUACUACCCUCCACACGCCCCAACCUACAAGUCGCCACCUCCACCACCUCCCACUUACAAGUCGCCACCACCACCAAAGGAGCCAUACUACCCUCCACACACACCAACCUACAAGUCAUCACCUCCACCAACUCUCAUUUAUAAGUUGUUGCCACCACCACCCAAAGAGCCGUACUACCCUCCACACACACCAACCUACAAGUCACCACGUCCACCAACUCCCAUUUAUAAGUCGUCGCCGCCGCCACCCAAGGAGCCAUACUACCCUCCACACACACCAACCUACAAGUCACCACCUCCACCAACUCCCGUUUAUAAGUCGCCACCACCACCCAAGGAUCCAUACUACCCUCCACACACCCCAACCUACAAGUCGCCACCUCCACCAACUCCCGUUUACAAGUCGCCACCACCACCCAAGGAGCCAUACUACCCUCCUCACACACCAACCUAUAAGUCACCACCUCCACCAAGUCCCGUUUACAAGUCGCCACCACCACCCAAGGAUCCAUACUAUCCUCCACACACCCCAACCUACAAGUCGCCACCUCCACCAACUCCCGUUUACAAGUCGCCACCACCACCCAAGGAGCCAUACUACCCUCCUCACACACCAACCUAUAAGUCACCACCUCCACCAAGUCCCGUUUACAAGUCGCCACCACCACCCAAGGAGCCAGACUACCCUCCACACACCCCAUCCUACAAGUUACCACCUCCACCAAUUCCCAUUUACAAGUCGCCACCACCACCAACUCCUGCCUACAACUCUCCUCCACCACCUUACUAUCUUUACACCUCUCCCCCUCCUCCCUACCAUUACUAAAAAGCCACUUCAUUAUAUCGAGGUAAUUAAGACAAACUAAAACUAUUACUAAUGAUGUGUCUAAAAUGCAAAGCAAUAAGUUGCUCAAUUUCCUCAUGCAAAUCAUUAAUAUAUAGACCUAUGCAGUCUAUAUUCUUAUUUGGAUAACUUUAAUUACAUGUUCUCAUUCACAAAAUUAUAUUCUUAUGCAGGAAAAGCAAAAUGUUGAGCUUAAAGAAAGGCAUUUUACAUUUUCGAGAGACGAUGAAAAAAGAAGAAAACUAUAGUAAAUAAUAAGCCCCACAUAAGUCGAAGUUCUUUUGUAGCUUCAUGUUAUCUAAGCUAGUGAUACUGUUUGUACUCUAUUAUUUAUAUUUGUAUUUUUACUUUUAUGUCUUUCUGUAUGUUUGCUCAGUUUUAAUAUCCUAGCAAAAUGCAAAGAUUAAUUAUGAGAUGAAUAAAAUAAGUUAUUACUAUUAUACAGUUUUAUGUUUUCCUUCUCUCUGAUCUAUUCGAUCUUAAUUAGUCCUUUUUUUGGUCUUAUUUCUUCAUCUUUAUAUCGAAGGCGAGGCUCAACGAUUACAUUAAAUCAAUCAUCAUACAGAUAAAAUUGAUGACAAAUUUAACGUUAAGAUAUCAUCAAAAUCUCAAUAACAAUUUACAGAUCGAAAUCUUAGUAUCGAUUGAUUAAUAACCUAAACUUUCGCCAUGAAGACUUGAAUCCCUAAUCCCGUCCUUCAUUUCCCAUAUCUCUACCCACACAUUAUCUUUUAAGAAAGAAGAAGUAACAACCAAAAUAAACAUUAUAUCUAAAGUGAUAAUAUGAUAACAAUACAAAUAGGCAACAAUACAAUUAAAGAAAAAAAAAAAAGUUACUCCCACGAUGUCAACACGUAUGCUAGACUGACCAAUAAAGUUAGACAAAUUUCAAAAUUGACAAUAGCAAAGUAUACGUACGUAGCAUAUAGCAACCAAUCAAUGAAUAAAUUAUUCCUAAAGUAGUCAUUAUCAUCUCAUAUACUAUAUUUGGUAAAAUACUAAGAUUAAGUCAACAUAAUUCAGUCUACCGUUUGGUAAUUUAUAACAAAUAGUGACAAUAUUAAUAAAGUGAUUGGUGCUCUCUUUUGGCCCACCCCCAAGAAGAUCGUGAACGCAUAUUUUAAAUUUGAUUUGAUUACCACUUUUUAAUAUCUUUAAAAUAAAACUUGUAUAUUUAAAAAAUUAAAAAUUAUUAUUAUUAUUUAAUUAUAUAAAUAAAAUAUUUUAAAAUACAUUAGUAUCUUAAUAGAGAAAAGAUUAAAAAAUUAAAAAUUAUUAUUAUUAUUUAAUUAUAUAAAUAAAAUAUUUUAAAAUACAUUAGUAUCUUAAUAGAGAAAAGAUUGUUUGUUUGAUUUUCUAAAGUAACAGAGUCGGAUGAGAUAGUUGAUUAAUUUGACGGUUUGAAUAAUAUAAUCUUCUUGAUAAAUAAUCAUCAACCCAUCAUGCAUGUUUUAUAUUUAUUGAUAGAAACUUUGAUGGAUUGAUUUGUUGGUGCCGCCUCAACAUAGAGAAAAGAAAAAGAACAAGUUAUUUCAAUCUAUUACACUUUAGAGAUUAAAAAAAACAUUUUUUAAAGCAGUGAUAAAAUUGAUAAUAAUAAGUUGUUAAUAUGUUUGGCAAAAAGAGUGUCGAUUAACUAUUUUUUGCUAUAGUAUUGAAAUAUCUUUAGAUUUUUUAACCCCCAAAAAAGGUUUAAAACUACCUCUGUAAAGAAAAGGAGUUUAUUUUUAGAAAAUAUAUCUCGAGAAAUAAAGUAAGAUAAAGGAUAAAAUCGUGAAAGAAAAAUGUUGAUAAGCAAACAAAAAAAUCAAAGUUAGGAAUGACCAAUUUAUUGAAUAUAACUAAAUUGUCUUAAAUAAGCAACUUAGCUUAUAAAUAUAUAUAUAAAAUUAUUUUUAUAUCAGUUUGAUCAAUUAAUAAUAAAUUGAUUAUGCAUGAAAUAAUAGGAAGUGUUCUAAUUAAAAAGAAUACAAGGAAAAAGGUGCAGUAUUGUGUACGAUCGACCAAACAUACAUUCGUUAUUAAUUAUUAUUAAGCUAAUUAGACAACGCUAUCUUAUUAAUUUAUUAUAGAGCUGUCGAUAUUAGUUUAGAUAAUUAAAUUAUAUAAAAUUCAUUUAAUUCAAUCAAAGCUUGACUUGUUAAAUGUUAGGUUUAUGAUAUGAUUAAUUAUAUAUAUAAUUCACUAUGAUUUUACGCGACUUGUUAAUCAAGACCUUAUUUAACAUAUUGAUUAAGUUAUUAGUUAUAUAACUAAUAAAAAUAUAUUUUAAAUAAUAAAUGGUUAUUGAGAGAAAACUUCCAUGCAAUUAUCAUAAUAAGAAACUUCUUAAGAAAUUGUCUCUAAUUAGAUAAUUGGAUGGUGACUCUUUUGUUUAAAAAAAAUUGAAUCAAUCAAGAUUUUAUUGCUAUUAAUUGUGAACUACAAUUUGUAGAAGGGGAGCAUAAACCUAGAUAUUAACUAUGCACAACAUGAGUGUGCAAGAUUAUUUUGUUUAUUUAUUUUGAUUCAAUUCAGUAUCCGAUAUUCAUAUUAGAUUCUCAAUCAAAUUUGUAUUUACAUUAAAAAAAUUCAGUGCUCCUUAACAGAGGCAACAACUCUGUACUCAGGAGAACUCGAAUUCGAGACCUCUAAACAAGAAUAAAGAAGUAUUUGUUAUUCCAUAACAAUUUUUAUUGAUAAAAGAAACUCGUAGUAUCAUGAAAAGAUAAUAGAUUAUCUAGGCCUAAUGGAAAAUUCAGUCAAGCUUUAGAGGGAAAAUUAUGGCAUAGCAAAGUUACAAACUUUAUAGUAUGAUUAACUUAAUUACAAGACCGUUAAAUUGAAUGCAACCCCAAUAACUUUUCUUUCAAUAAAUAUUUGGCCUUUGUGAGCUUUAUUUGAACUCUCUCUUCCUUCAUAAACUUGACCAUCAGCAAUAUUUUCCUUUCCUCUUUUAUUUUAUUGCUCACUCGAUAGUCAGCUUUUAAGAUUGACUUGAUGUUUCGAUAAGCGAAAGGUGUAAAUCCAGAUUAUGCUCAAGUAUCUAAGUGAUAUAUGAAUUGCAAACUUUUUGCAUAUGCAUUUGAGAAGAAAAUAAUUAUCACAAGAAAAUAAAUAAUUAGCAUGCGGUAAAUUAUUAACGUAGUUAAAUAAUGUUAUAGUCUUAUAAAUUAAAAUAAAGACAAGGCAACAAUUGUCACUAAUUAUUUGUAUUGUUAGCAACAAAAACUAAGAGAACAUAAAUAAUAUAUACUUAAUGGCUCAAUUUUACACCAUUUCACUAUAAAUAACUUUAUGUCGCUAAUUUGAUUACAUAUUUUUGUGACGAAACUUAUUUUGUAUCCAAACUUAAACGAAUUUAAAGAUAAAUAUGAUUUAUCAUAAAUAUUCAGUAAAAACAGGGAGAAAAUUUAUCAUCAUCAAUAUCCUCAAUUUCGUCGCUAAAAUUACCUUACAAUUUGAUUUAAUUAUAAAUUGAAAAUCAAAUUUAAAAAUGAUUAAAUUUGUGAUGUUGGUGCAAAAUGCACGUAUCAAAUUAAACCCACCUUUAGGUCUAAGAAAAUGGUGAGCACAUCUUAACCAUUAUUCUUCAACUCAUUUCAUCUCUUCCUCAAUUAAUUAUGCAAAUAAUAAAAAUAUUUCUUUUUCCAUUCAAUGUCUGUGUUUUAUAUUGAAGUUCCAAUUAACUCUAGAUUAGAAACCGGAGGCGAGGGCACAUUUAAAGGUGAUGCUUCCUAUACGACUCAUGUAGUAAAAAAAAUUAUAAAAAAAACCACCACAAUAAUUAUAUACGCUUCAAAAAAAAGAAGAGAAUAGAAUAGCAUCCUAUUCAUAGAGAAAACUAUACUUGAUAGUUAACUGGUAGCAAAACUUUUGCACAAGAUUAAUUAUAUUUGUAUAGUUGAUUUAUUCAAGGUUUUAAUUAGAAGAGGUCUAGGAUUCUAUUUAUUUUUAUCCAUAUUUUUUAAACAAUAAAUUUGCUACAAAAGGAUGUCUGUGACAAAUCAUGUCUCCUAAAUAUAAGCACUUGUGUGAAGGUUAGUUGAGUGUAAAGUUGAGGCAUCCACGCAUUUUUUUUUUCAAAGGUUCUGUAAAAAGAAAACAAGAUUUUGUAGCUCUUUGAAUCAUUCUGUCACAAACAGUAUAGUUCCCUUAAUAGUUUAUACAUUUGCUUAGGAUGAUGCCUCUAUAUAUCUAUCAAAUUAAAUAUACAAACUAAAGUCAAAAUUGAGCCAACAACAUGUCAAGACUAAAUAAACAUAUGCAUAACUCUACCAUAUUACCUACAUUUGUAUAAAUUUUGGUAAGGGUAAUUUCUAAAUGAAGUCUAUAUAAAGGGGUUUGGGUGAAGCUUAAGAGGACAAAAACUUCUCUCCUUUGUUUCAAAUAUAGGGAAAAUGGCCUCUCUAGUUGCAACUCUUUUAGUGGUUUUAGUGUCACUUAGCUUACCAUCCGAAAGUUCAGCUAAUUAUCAAUACACAUCUCCCCCACCACCAAAGGAGUCAUACCACCCUUCACCAACACCUUAUCAUCCCGUACCACUUUACAAGUCUCCACCACUGCCAACUCCAGUUUACAAUUUUCCACCACCACCCAGAGAGACGUACUACCCUCCACACACUCCAGUGUACAUGCCGUCACCACCCUCGACACAAAUUUACAAGUCGCCACCACCACCCAAGGAGCCAUAUUACCCUCCACACACCCCAACCUACAAGUCGCCACCUCCACCAACUCCUAUUUACAAGUCUCCACCGCCGCCAACUCCCUUUUACAAUUCUCCACCACCACCCAAGGAGCCAUACUACACUUCGCCACCUCCACCAACUCCUACUUACAAGUACCCACCGCCACCAACUCCGGUUUACAAUUCUCCACCACCACCUAAGGAGCCAUACUACCCUCCACACACCCCAACCUACAAGUCGCCACCUCCACCAACUCCUGCUUACAAGUCUCUACCGCCGCCAAUUCCAGUUCACAAUUCUCCACCAUCACCCAAGGAGCCAUACUACCCUCCACACACCCCAACCUACAAGUCGCCACCUCCACCAACUCCUGCUUACAAGUCUCUACCGCUGCCAAUUCCAGUUCACAAUUCUCCACCAUCACCCAAGGAGCCAUACAACCCUCCACACACCCCAACCUACAAGUCGCCACCUCCACCAACUCUUGCUUACAAGUCUCCACCGCCACCAACUCCGAUUUACAAUUCUCCACCACCACCCAAGGAGCCAUACUACCCUCCACAUACCCCAACCUACAAGUCGCCACCUCCACCAACUCCCAUUUACAAGUCGCCACCGUCACCAACUCCGGUUUACGAUUCUCCACCACCACCCAAGGAGCUAUACUACCCUCCACACACCUCAACCUACAAGUCGCCACCACCACCGAAUGAGCCAUACUACCCUCCACACACACCAACAUACAAGUCGCCACCUCCACCAAUUCCAAUCUACAAGUCACCACCUCUUCCAACUCCUAUUUACAAGUCGCCACCACCACCCAAGGAGCCAUACUACCCUCCACAUACUCCACUUUCACCGUCUUCAGUUUAUAAGUCUCCACCUCCACCAACUCAUGUUUACAAGUCGCCGCCACCACCUAUAGAGCCAUACUACCCUCCACACACCCCAAUCUAUAAGUCGCCACCUCCACCGAUUCCUGUUUACAAUUCACCACCUCCACUAACUCCAGUUUAUAAGUCACCACCACCACCCAAAGAGCCUCACUACCCUCCACACACCCCAGUGUAUAAGUCACCACCACCACCCAAGGAGCCAUACUAUUCUCCACAAAAUCCAGUCUACAAGUCGCCACCUCCACCAACUCCCAGUUACAAGUCGCCAACACCACCCAAGGAGCCAUAUUAUCCUCCACAUACCCCAACUUACAAGUCACCACCUCCACCAACUCCAGUAUACAAGUCGCCGCCACCACCCAAGGAGCCAUACUACCCUCCACACACCCCGACCUACAAGUCGCCACCACCACCGAAGGAGUCAUACUAUCCUCCACACACCCCAACCUACAAGUCACCACCUCCACCAACUCCUGUUUCCAGCUCUCCACCACCACCAACUCCAGUCUACAAGUUUCCACCACCAACAGAUUAUGUUUACACCUCUCCCCCUCCUCCCUACUAUUACUAAGAAGAGAUUUCAUUAUAUCUAAGGUAAUUAAACCAAACUAAAACUUUUAAUUAUGAUAUGUCUAUAGAAGUUGCACAAUUUCUUCGUUCGAAUAAUUAAUAUAGACCUGUAUACUGUCUACAUCUUAUUUGGUUUAGGUUCUAUUAUAUGUUCUCAUUCACAAUACUAAUUAUAUUCUUAUGCAGGAAAGAUGCAGAAUGUUGAGCUAAAAGAAAAUAAGCCCACACAGGAGGCAAAGUUUUUUUGUAGCUUCAUUUUGUAUAAGUUAUUGUUUGUACCCUAUAUUAUAUUUAUAUUUUACUUCUAUUUAUUUGUGUAAUAUGUUUGUUCGAUCUCCUUGCAACAUGCAGCCAUUAUGAGAUGUAUAAAAUAUGUUAUUACUAUAUAUACUGUCUUUUUUCUUAUUUUUGUCAUCCCUUAUAUUGAGUUAUAUUUAUAAGUUGAGCCUCUUAUCAAUUACAUUAAAUCAGUUGCUAUAAAAAAUGUGGUUUUUCACCACCAAUAAGUUCAACGAUAAGCUACAAUCAACUGGGAAUAUUAGUAGCUUCAAUAGAAAAUGUUAAUAGCUCCGUUGAUUAGUUAUUUGAACUUUUUAUCUUUAUUACACGUCGCAAUAACAAUCAAUGUAAAUAUUAUAUCUAACCUCUGGACUUAUGCCCACAUAAUUCCUCAAUGCACCCACACAAAAUAUUGAAAUUAAAUAUUAUUACUUGCCUAUUUCUCUUAUCUUGAUUAUUAGUUUUCAGGGAUGAAAGUUUAAUUGUUACACCUUUCACUUUUUUAAAAAAAAAAAAAAGGAAUGGACAACCAACUGAUUUCGUAUCUGAUUGUAGUUGUUGAAGGCAUAUUGUAAUAAUUAAAUUUUCGUUUUUGAAAAAUAAUAAUCAAAAAAUAGAAAAUAUCAAUAAAUAAUAAUAUUUAAUUUUAUUUAUUUGUGCACGAUUUAACAAUCAUUAGAGAUUUCACACUAAAAUGUUUAAUUUUUUUGUUUUUUCUUUUUUUCUCUUCAUGACUAUCAACUCAAAAGUUUUGCUUUUUACCUGAAUUGAUGGAAUACUUGUUGAAAGUUUACCACGAAUGCAUAAUCAAUUUUUAAUCACAUUCGAGGAGGCAUAAAACGACUCACAACUUGAAGGCAAAAAAGAGUUGUAUGCAGAAGACUGCAAAUCAUUAUUGAAUAUUUUUUUAUAUAGGCAUCAGCUAGGGUUUGAAAUAUUUGAUCUAAUCGACUUUAGGUUUGAGAAUAUGAGUUGUGUUGGAUUAGACUUGUAAAUUUAAUAAUGGACUAACCUAAAUUUAAUCGAAAAAUUACCUAACUACAUAUAUAUUUUUUUAUCCUAUUUUCUAUUAUUUCAUAUAAUUUAUAAAAAUUACAAAAAUCUUUUUUUUCUCUCAAAUUCGCUCCUUUCAAGAUUCAUAACUUUAAAUCUUCCAACUCACAAUUUCUCCUUUUUCUCAGGCCUAUAAUCGCUCUACUAUAUUACUAGUUACCUUCAUCUCCUAUAUUUUGAAUUUUAGAUAUUUUUCUCUCUCCCGUUUAUAAUUUAAUUGAGUAUGUAUCAUAUGUUUGUUAUGUAUGUGAAGUACUAUUUUAUAACUAAAUCAUUGUUUAUCAUAUUCAUAAGUUUUUUUUAUAUGAUACAUAGCUAUGUCAAAUUAUACCGGCAUGAUACAUAAAUACUAAUUUAUGCUACAUGUAACGAUCUCAAAUCAAACAACUUAUGAGCAACAAUUACAUGUUAAAUGUAUCCCGUAACAAUACGAUACUUAUUAAUUUAAACGAGAUAAAUAAAUAGUAAUGUAUCAUGUAUUAGUUUUUAGAUGUGAUACAUAAAUUCGAAUUUGGACUACAUGUAUUAAUUACAUAGAAACUACCACGCGGUGAUGUAUCCAUCACAAAUGUAACAUCUUAUGGGCAACAAUUACUUAUUUAAUGUAUCUACUAUAAAUACAAUACUAAUCAAUUGAGACGAGAUACACAAAUAGUAAUGUAUCAUGCAAAAAAAUUUUUUACUUGAUAUGUGAAUUCGAAUUUAUACUAAAUGUAUCAAUUACAUAGCAACUACCACAUUGUAAUGUAUCGAUCUCGAAUUCAACAUCUUAUGGACUAUAAUUAUUUAUUUAGUGUAUUUAGUAUAAAUACAAUACUUAUCAAUUUAAACAAGAUACAUAAAAGUAAAAUGCUAAGUAGACAAGAUAUUCAUGAUAAUAUUCUCAAUUUUUUUGAGAUUCUUCAAUAAACUAGGAGAAGAAUUCUGAAUCUCAAAAUUUACAACAAUUUUGAAUCAAAAUUAAAAAGAUCUUUGAUGAACUGGAGAACAAAGAAUCUUAAUCUCAAAAUUUUUAACAAUCUUGAAUCAAAACUGAAAGGAAUAUCUUUGAUGAUCUUGAAGAUUCAAAAGAAAAUUGUUUAUCCAACAACAAUUUUGUCACUUUUGUAUCAUUCAUAAUUCACUUCGCUUACCCAAAAUUUCGACAAAAGUUUUUGGAUCAAAUGUGAAAGGUUUCUUUGUUGAACGGGGGGAUCAACUAGAAAUUUUAAAUUUCUUCGUUCUGUAUGGAUUUGAUUCUGUAUGAUUGAGAGUAAAAAGAAAUAUAAGCGUAAUUUAUGGAAUUUAAUUAGUUUUCAGAUUUUAUUUUCUUUUUAGCGCAACAGAAAGAUUCUUUUUGUAUUAAAAUUAGUGUAUCUAGAUGGUGGUGACUUAUGUAUUUGUUGAAGGAAGCUGAUGGAACAGGUUUGGUAGUAUAUGACUUUUUUCCUAUAUAAGGAUGAUGUAACUCAAUCAUUCAUUCAUCAAUAUAAUCCUUGAUUCUUCACAUACAUAUCUGUGAGAAUUCUACAUCCGAAAGGUACAAAUUUUAACGGAUCAUUUUAUUAGAAAAAAAUAGAGAUAAAAUAUAAUGUAUUCUUUACAUUACGAAGUUUACGUAAGUUAAUCAAAUUUGAUUAAACUUCCCUUAAAUCAUAAAAGUUUAACUUAAUAUUAUUCCAACUUUAUUAUAGAUAUAUAUAAUUGGAAAAAAAAACAAACAAAAUAGAACAUAAGAUCUCGAUCGCUGGACAAAUGUUUGUCUAUAAUAAAUAAAUAUGUCGGUAAUAAUUAUUGACUAGGUCAAUGUAGCUAAGGUUUGUACUUGUUUAUACUUACAUCCUAUCUCUUGGGACGAUUAAAAAAAUAUUAGUUUAGCUUAUUUAAUAAUGGAAUCUUAUAUGGAGUUUACUAAUUUUAUCUUUGUCGGUGAUUAAGUUAUACAAAUGAUUAAUUAUUUUUCUAAUUAAAAAGUCAAAAGUCAUUAUUGGAUGAACCAAGAAUCUUCCAUGUAUUUGAAUACUUUUUCUGUCUCCCUUAAAUCGUGAUGGCUUUUUUGUAAGUUAAAUAAUAAAAAAUUUUAUUAAUGUUUUGUUGAUAUAAGAAAUUAUAAAAUAAGUAUUUUUGUAUAAUAUAUUUAAAUUUUUAAUUUAAAUUUAAAUUUUAAAAAUUAGUUAUAUUAACUGUUAAAAAACCGUACAACGACUAAAACGGGACGGCUUGUUCUCUUCUUUCUUUUAUUAUAAAUAAAAAUAAAAAUUUAACUAAUGUGCAAUCAAUAAUGUUAAUUAUUUAUUCAAAGUUUAAAUUAAACACAUAAAAGUGAAAAGUAUAAAGCCUUCAACCGAUUCGAUUCAUUUAAUUAUGUUUCUUAAGAUAUUCCAUAUUUUCAAAUUUUAAAGAGAACUAUAAAUUCCUACAUUUAAAACUACAUACAUUAUUAAAAUGUGCCUAUAUAACACGCAUUUAAAUUAGUUGUGCUCAAAUAUAGAUAUCAAACAAGGAAUAAAACAUAAAGUGAAUUACUUAAACUAUAAUUAUAUAUUAAGUAAUUAAAUCAAAUCGUGUAAUUUAAUUAAUUAUACUACCAAAAUAUUAACUUCAACGAUAUGAAGUAACGCAAUGUACCUUUAAAGUUUCACAAAAUUUAAUUAGGUUGUAAGGUUUGAUUCUUGAAAUUUAGAAAUUAUUUUCAAGUGAUUUGAGUACAUUGAAAGUACCUAAGUCAAUAAAGUCAAAAAUAAAUUAAUUUUUACUUUGUAUCGUGACCUGUAUUCUACAUCUUGUGUGUUCCCACGAUAAUAAACUAAGAUACCAAAAAUUUCAUAGAUAUUAUAUUUAAUCAUAUAAAUUUUUUCAAUAUUGAGCUACAUAAUCCGUUGAAUUUUUUGCCCUCUAUUCCCACCUAAAACUAAAAAGAAAGAACAACAUUAAUUGCUUUAUUUAGUAAUGAAAGUGGGUCAUUAUAUAUAUAUAUAUAUAUAUAUAUAUAUAUAUAUAUAUAUAUAUAUAUAUAUAUAUAUAUAUAUUAUUUUAUUUUAUUUUAUUUUAUUUUUUUGACAACUAGGGAAACCUGAGCCGCUAUCCUAUAAAAUAGCUCGCAAAUCACAUAGGAGAGGUAACCUGCACUAGGCAAGCCUGGUGCAACGAGCUUGACCCAGAAGGCAAAUCUCUUGCUUUCGCUGGCAAGGGGUUUCAAACUUGAGACCUCCAAUAUGGAAGUUUCAAGCUCAAACCAUUGGGCCACCCCGAAGGGUUAUAUAUAUAUAACUUUUAGUAAUAUUAGAUAUUGACAUUAAUAAAGAGUGUUAAAGUCUUUAUCGGUAUCAGUUAAGUGUCAUUAGAACCAAUGUUGCUAAAGGCUUUAGGGACACAUACAAAGAAAGUUAUUGCCGCUAAAAACACUUAUUUGGCGACGUUUGAAAAUUAAUUGCCAAUAAUGAUUAUUUUUAAUAUAGUGUAUAUAUGUAUUAUUGUUUUAAAUCUCUAUACUAUUUAAGCACUAAAGGUAAUUAAAGGUUAGUUUAUCAAUCAAAAUCAAAAAAAAAUAAAUUGUUACUCCCUUAGUUCGUUUCAUAGUAGUUGAUCAUCUUACUAAAAAUAAUUGUUACACAUUAAUUGUCCAUCUUAUUAAAUCAAGAAAUCAAUAAUUAAUUUUUUCCUAUAUUAUCUAUUCAGAUAAUUCUUUUGAAAGUAUUAACAUUUGUUUGUAAAAUGUAAAAGAAGUUUUCAAGGGGUGAAUUAAUAAAAUUAUCUAGCUAGUUAAUAAAAAUGAUGGGUGAAAUAAUAUUAUCUAGCUACUUAAUAAAAAUAAUCAACUAAUAUGAGACACAUAAAAAUAGAAUUCUUCAAAUAUUUUGUAACAAAAAAAAAAAGAAAAAAGGCAGUGUACACUGAUUUUUGUAACUAAAAAUCGUGCGAAGUUGAGGGAUGCACGCAUUUUUUUCAAAGAUUUUGUAUGUAUGUAAUGUAAAAGCUUGGAAGAAAAAGAAGACUUUGUAGCUCUUUGAAUUAUUGCAUCACAAGAUGUAAAGAAAAUUGUAUGGUUGUCUUAAUAGUUUAUACAUUUUUGCUUAGCUUGCACCCUCUAUCCAAUAAAUAAAGUCAAAUUGAGCCAACAACAUGACAAAACCAAUUAUAAAAAUGAAUAAAAACUUUACCUACAUUUAUGUAAAUCUUGGUAAGGGUAAUUGUCGAAAUGAAAGCUAUAUAAAGGGGUUUGAGUGAAACUUAAAGAGGACACCAACUUCUCUUCUUUGGUUUCAAAUAUGGGGAAAAUGGCCUCUCUAGUUGCUACUCUUUUAGUGGUUUUAGUGUCACUUAGCUUUGCUUCCGAAAGCUCAGCAAACUAUCAAUACUCAUCUCCUCCACCACCAAAGAAGCCAUACCACCCUUCACCAACACCUUAUCAUCUCGCACCAGUUUACAGAUCACCACCACCACCAACUCCACUUUACAAGUCACCACCACCACCUAAGGAGCCACACUAUCCUCCACACACCCCGGUUUACAAGUCGCCACCUCCUCCAGCUCCAAUUUACAAGUCACCACCACCACCGGUGAAGCCAUACCAUCCAGCACCAGUUUAUAAGUCACCACCACCCCCUACGCCUGUUUACAAGUCACCACCACCACCAGUGAAGCCACACCAUCCUGCACCAGUAUACAAGUCUCCACCACCACCAACUCCAGUUUAUAAGUCACCACCUCCUCCAACACCCGUUUACAAGUCACCACCACCACCAGUGAAGCCAUACCAUCCUGCACCAGUAUACAAGUCACCACCACCUCCAACACCCAUUUACAAGUCACCACCACCACCAGUGAAGCCAUACCAUCCUGCACCAGUAUACAAGUCACCACCACCUCCAACACCCGUUUACAUGUCACCACCACCACCAGUGAAGCCAUACCAUCCUGCACCAGUAUACAAGUCACCACCACCUCUAACACCCGUUUACAAGUCACCACCACCACCAGUGAAGCCAUACCAUCCUGCACCAGUAUACAAAUCUCCACCACCACCAACUCCAAUUUACAAGUCACCUCCACCACCAGUGAAGCCAUACCAUCCUGCACCAGUAUACAAGUCUCCACCACCACCAACUCCAGUUUAUAAGUCACCACCACCACCGGUGAAGCCAUACCAUCCUACACCUGUGUACAAGUCUCCACCACCACCAACUCCUGUUUACAUGUCCCCACCACCACCAGUGAAGCCAUACCAUCCUACACCUGUGUACAAUUCUCCACCACCACCAACUCCCGUUUACAUGUCCCCACCACCACCAGUGAAGCCAUAUCAUCCUACACCUGUGUACAAAUCUCCACCACCACCAACUCUCGUUUACAAAUCACCACCACCACCCGUGAAGCCAUACCAUCCUUCACCAACACCACACCAUCCUACACCAGUAUACAAGUC